RNAcentral lists this ribosomal RNA (497 nucleotides) under uncultured bacterium. Its description in RNAcentral is "partial 16S ribosomal RNA". It matches the Rfam family "Bacterial small subunit ribosomal RNA", at positions 28 to 507 of the family's 1533-position model. The record is from RNAcentral.
GAUGAACGCUGGCGGCGUGCCUAAUACAUGCAAGUCGAGCGAACAGAUAAGGAGCUUGCUCCUUUGACGUUAGCGGCGGACGGGUGAGUAACACGUGGGUAACCUACCUAUAAGACUGGGAUAACUUCGGGAAACCGGAGCCAAUACCGGAUAAUAUUUCGAACCGCAUGGUUCGAUAGUGGAAGAUGGUUUUGCUAUCACUUAUAGAUGGGCCCGCGCCGUAUUAGCUAGUUGGUAAGGUAACGGCUUACCAAGGCGACGAUACGUAGCCGACCUGAGAGGGUGAUCGGCCACACUGGAACUGAGACACGGUCCAGACUCCUACGGGAGGCAGCAGUAGGGAAUCUUCCGCAAUGGGCGAAAGCCUGACGGAGCAACGCCGCGUGAGUGAUGAAGGUCUUCGGAUCGUAAAACUCUGUUAUUAGGGAAGAACAUACGUGUAAGUAACUGUGCACGUCUUGACGGUACCUAAUCAGAAAGCCACGGCUAACUACGUG